Molecule: long non-coding RNA, 4603 nt
Filed under: Sus scrofa (pig)
Lineage: Eukaryota; Metazoa; Chordata; Mammalia; Artiodactyla; Suidae
Description: lncRNA (ENSSSCG00050065927.1)
Source: RNAcentral
CUGAAGAUCUUGAGCCGUGCUGGAUGGAAAGUGUCAAGAGUAACUCCCUAAAGAUAGUCAAGUGAUGGACAGCGCGCCGACUACUGCCGUUUCCAUGCCGCCUUUCCCCCAGUCUUUGCUAGAGGGGCUCCUCUGUCCCACGUGAUCUCACCCAGGGACCCGGGCGCGGUGUCUCCUCUGCAUGACUGGAAACCUACAGCGGGCAUACCCGCGGUCCAGCGUAACCUGGAUGGCCUCUGCCAGAGGGUGUUCUCUCUAAAGCGAGGUCCUGGCCGCACCCGUGCAGGACUUGGAGGAGAGCAGGACGGGUCCAGUCACCAAGAGCCGCCUCCUCGGGCAGUGGAAGGGAAGGUCGAAGGAGCGGAGGCAGCGGGCGGGGGCCUGCGGGGAGGGGCGCGGGGUCCACUGCCAUCCCCAGGACAGGGCGGGGAGGGGUUCCAGCGCGUGCAUCGCAGCGCAGGAGUCUCGAAAUGUUGAGAGGAUUCUCUCCCCAGGGCUAAACUGUAGUCUGUUUUCCAGGUAAGCUGGGAAAGGUAUCUGCCUGCUUUCCUCAAGUGUUGUCUUUUGGGAUAAUUGAUCAACCUGAGCGAGAGAGGUCGACGUGUAGCUGAGGCGUAGCUUUUCUCCUUCUGCGGAAAACGAUGUAGGUCACGGAAGGGAUUUCUCCCUCCGCCUGAUCAUUCAAGGAGAAGCCUUGUGACCUACGAAAGAACAGCAUGCUGUUGUAGCCCUGGCGAGGGGAUUAACGGUCUUGUGCCUGUAAAAGAGCAGCCCAGCUCCUGUGUAGUCCUUUGAUUCCGGAAACAGGAGCCCGAUUCUUCCCUCCGCUUGGACGGAGUUGGUCCUGGCGGGGGCCGUUGGCGAGGAAUGGCAGCGGGGCCAGUUCUUAGACAAUCGCCUUCGCACCGGGCUCCCCACACUUGCGCAAAGGAGUGGACCCUUUCACCUUCUUAGUGAUUUGCUGAUGGAAGCAAUUUGUGUAUGUUUAAAUGUCAUUGGCUUGUGAAACAGUCAGACAAACUUUUUAGUCCAGCAAAGAGGUCCAUCAAGACCCAUCUGUAUUUAAAAAUCUUGAAAAUGUAGGUUUUCUAUUUAGCUCAGCUAAUGGCAUUUCCGUUUCUUUCUUUCUUUUUUUUUUAGCUUUUCAGGGCCACACCUGCAUCAUGUGGAAGUUCCCAGGCCAGGGGUCGAAUGGGAGCUACAACUGCUGGCCUACACCACAGCCCCAGCAGCGCUGGAUCCUUCACCCACUGAUUGAUGCCAGGCAUCGAACCCGCAUCCUCAUGGAUACUAGUCGGGUUCAUUAACCACUGAGCCAUGAAGGGAACUCCCUCAGUUUAUUAUUCUUGAGGUAGACUUGACAGAUGACACUAUUUUAGUUUCCGGUGUGCCGUGUAAUAAUUUGAUAUUCGUAUAUAUUGUGAAAUGCUCACCACAGUGAGUCUCGUUAACAUCCCUUACCACACGGUGUGAUAGAAUUUUGUUCUUGUGAUGAGAACUUUUAAGAUCUAGGCGUUUCCCGUCGUGGCUCAGUGGAAAUGAAGCUGACUAGCACCCAUGAGGACACAGGUUCCAUCCCUGGCCUUGCUCAGUGGGUUGAGGAUCCGGCGUUGCCGUGAGCUGUGGUGUAGGUUGCAGACGUGGCUCAGAUCUGGCGUUGCCGUGGCUCUGGUAUAGGCCGGCGGCUACAGCUCCAAUUCCACCCCUCGCCUGGGAACCUCCAUAUGCCGCAGGUAUGUUUAGCUCAAUAAGUGCUGUUGGCUGGUGGAUUUUUCCCUUUGUGCAAACCUUAGAGGACAUUCGGUGUGGUCAUAUUUGGAAGAAAGGGCAUGGAAGAAGUCACACUGGUUGGACACAAUCUCUGAAUGGAAGGAAUUGGCAUCUUUGGGUCCCAGAUCUUCUCCUGAAACCCGUGCCAUCCGGUCUUCACGGUACUGCCUGUAGCACCAGCCCCAGCUUUCCUUAAUGUACAUUUCCUCUUGGCUACCUCUGUGUACACCACAUGCAGGAGUCUUCUUAUACGAGAGAGUUCUCUGUGUUUUGAUGUUGUCUGGCUCUUUGCGGUUGGGGGAAAGAAAGUUCUGGGGGAGCAGUCUCCCUCCUUUCCUUCCUCCCCUUUCUGUGAUCGCAGUGCAGGCCCGAUUCAGUUGCUCCGUUUCUCUCUCAGGAAGGCGGGGGCACACGCUGCAGGGCAGGCUUGGGCCUUGUCCCCACGCCCCAGGGCCCAGAGGAGUCUUGUGUUGCAGAUGGACAGAGUGUUUGACGGGCUCCCAGGUGAUGCUCAGCUGAUAAAGUGGAAAGCGUGUCCUAAGCUUGGAGACUCUGGAGUUCUCAUCAGGGCAGGGGUUAGAGCCCCUCCCGACAAGGGCUGUGGACCACCCACAUGAAAUCCAGAAGCCCUUUGCCCUCCCCACUGUCCUGGGUCUCUCCUCACAUGGAGCAUGGAGUCCUGUGGGCAGAUCUGGCAUCUCGGGACUUUUGGCUUCCCCUUUGGUUUGAAUCUUCUGGUGAGCUACCACCGUGACCUUGAUCUUCAAGAGCCUCUUUUUAAAAAAACUUUCUAUGCUCGCCGAUUGGCCGUGUUCUGUCAAUUUCUGCUGUACAGCAAAGUGACCCGGUUACACGUUCGUGCACAGUCUUUAUCUCACACCAUCCUCCAUCCUGCUGCAUCCCAGGUGAGUAGAUGUGGUUCCCUGUGCUGUACCGCAGGGUGUCAUUGCUUAUCCACUCCAAACGCAGUCGUUUGCAUCUUCAGGAGUCUCAAUAGCCCUGACCUCCUAGGCCUGUCACGUAGGGGCAGAGUCGUGGCAUCUCAGUGCCCUGGCAGCAGAACUCGGUUCCUAACCAUCGCUCGCCGUGUUGGCCGGUCACAGUUCGUUCUUGGCAAACAUCCGUGAGCGAAUGCCGCGUGCUUCACAUGGUGCCUCGUAAACCAGGGGCCUGUCCACGGGGCCACAGUGGACACAAGCAGACAGUGCCCACCCCCCACUUGUCCCUCCUGUUGCCCCUUGGUGCCCUGGGCGAUAUACUCCCACAGUGAGUGUGGUGGGAGUGGCCCCCCACCGCCUGGGCCUUACCUCUCGUUGGACCUCAGUUUCUUACUCUUGUGGAAGCCAAGACCUCAGGUAGUUUCUCAGAGCAUCCUCCGAACAAGGAGGGAGGCCCAGCCCCCGAGGGUGCCUUCUCAGGCAGCCUUUGCCUUGCCGCCGUCCCCAGAAGCAGGGCUGUGCUUCCCUGGCCCUUUCCCCAACCUUGCUGCUUUAGGAAGUGGGCUUGCUCGUGACUAGUUCAGUUGCCGGUAUCGGAACAAAAUGUAAGCAUGUCUCUGUUUCUGUCGUUGAUAUUCAUAGAACACCAAGCCCUGCCUGGGAUUCCAGUUCUCUGCACCUUUACCGGCAUUGGAUGUUCUUUAACUUGGUCAUUUUUGCCAACCUGAAGACGUGAACCGAGUAGCUUGCUUUUCAGAAAUGCCUUGUCUGGAGUUCCCGUCAUGGCUCAGAGGAAGCGAGUCUAACUAGUAUCCACGAGGACGCAGAUCCUUCAAAAAGUCACACUCUUCCUGCUGCUGAAGUACAGACGGCCAUAAGAAUGAAUAGGAACCGGAUCAACAAUGCCUUCUUUUUAAAUGACCAGACUCUGGAAUUUUUAAGGAUUCCUUCCACUCUUGCACCACCUACUGAGCCAUCUGUGCCCACCUGGAUUAUUAUAUUUGGUGUGAUAUUUUCCAUCACUGUAGUUGCAACCAUGCUGUUGAUUUUAUCUGGAAUCCGGGAGCGCAGAAGGAAGAACGAAGGACCGUCUGAAAUGGAAAACACGGAAGAUAAGUGUGAAAACACGGUCACAAUUGAAAAUGGCAUCCCCUGUGAUCCCCUGGACAUGAAGGGAGGACACAUUAAUGAUGCCUUUGGAACAGAGGAUGAGCGGCUCACCCCUCUCUGAAUGGCUACUGUUUUGCUUUCCCGUGAAACACAACACUUAUUUCUGUGCAACUGCUGAACAUCCAGUUUGUCAAGGGCAGAUUAUAUAUUUUGUUUCACCAUUCUUCUUUUCUAAGAAAUUUUGCAUGUGCAUGACAUUGAAAGGCAAUGAAUUAUACUCAUGAAGACCAUUGGAAUCAUAAGCUGUUGACUAUCCAGAAUUUUCUAAAAUAUUUUCUCUGACAACACUGCGUGAGUGUACUCAUGUGGUGUUUGUAGUUAUUUGUAGUUGUUGAUUUUAAAAUGCAUUAGUAUUUAAGCAUUUCCAGAUAUAAGGCCAGGCCAGCAUAUAUAUAUACUUUGAAGACUGAAGAAAAACUAUUUUUCCAUUGGAGAAUGCCUAUACAAUGGAGUCCAAAUUGUUGACAAUGGAUCCUUUUUGAAUAUCACUUAUAUCACUCUGUUGAUGACUAAAUAAGCAAGAACGACAAGUAAUUAUUGUCAGUGGGACAGGUAAAAAUCGUUGGUAUACAAGGUGGAAUUUGAUCCUGUUAUCAUACCAACAGUUGCUUAUAUAUAUUUUGUGACUCAGUCUCUAAUAGGACAGUCUAUUCAUUGAUUAUUUCUGCAAUUUGUGAAAGUACAAUCUAUGCUAAUUUAAUAAAGUGCUCUUUCUCAUCUCUUUU